AGUGAACGCUGGCGGUCGGCCUCCCCCCUGCACGUCGACCCGCAGCACAGUAAGAGCUUGCUCUUACGGGUGGCGAGUGGCGGACGGGUGAGGAAUACAUCGGAAUCUACUUUUUCGUGGGGGAUAACGUAGGGAAACUUACGCUAAUACCGCAUACGACCUACGGGUGAAAGCAGGGGAUCUUCGGACCUUGCGCGAUUGAAUGAGCCGAUGUCGGAUUAGCUAGUUGGCGGGGUAAAGGCCCACCAAGGCGACGAUCCGUAGCUGGUCUGAGAGGAUGAUGAGCCACACUGGAACUGAGACACGGUCCAGACUCCUACGGGAGGCAGCAGUGUGGAAUAUUGGACAAUGGGCGCAAGCCUGAUCCAGCCAUACCGCGUGGGUGAAGAAGGCCUUCGGGUUGUAAAGCCCUUUGGUUGGGAAAGAAAAGCAGCAGGUUAAUACCCCGCUGUUCUGACGGUACCCAAAGAAUAGGCACCGGCUAACUUGGUG
RNAcentral lists this ribosomal RNA (492 nucleotides) under uncultured bacterium. RNAcentral's name for it is "partial 16S ribosomal RNA". It matches the Rfam family "Bacterial small subunit ribosomal RNA", at positions 29 to 507 of the family's 1533-position model. The record is from RNAcentral.